RNAcentral lists this transfer RNA (71 nucleotides) under bacterium. RNAcentral describes it as "tRNA-Gly". It matches the Rfam family "tRNA". From Rfam's summary of the family: Transfer RNA (tRNA) molecules are approximately 80 nucleotides in length. Their secondary structure includes four short double-helical elements and three loops (D, anti-codon, and T loops). Further hydrogen bonds mediate the characteristic L-shaped molecular structure. tRNAs have two regions of fundamental functional importance: the anti-codon, which is responsible for specific mRNA codon recognition, and the 3' end, to which the tRNAs corresponding amino acid is attached (by aminoacyl-tRNA synthetases). tRNAs cope with the degeneracy of the genetic code in two manners: having more than one tRNA (with a specific anti-codon) for a particular amino acid; and 'wobble' base-pairing, i.e. permitting non-standard base-pairing at the 3rd anti-codon position. The record is from RNAcentral. RNAcentral also lists the same sequence under 1 other name.
GCGGAUAUAGUUUAGUGGUAAAACGCCUCGUUGCCAACGAGAAAAUAGGAGUUCGAUUCUCCUUAUCCGCA